AGGACGAACGCUGGCGGCGUGCCUAAUACAUGCAAGUCGAGCGGACCGACGGGAGCUUGCUCCCUUAGGUCAGCGGCGGACGGGUGAGUAACACGUGGGUAACCUGCCUGUAAGACUGGGAUAACUCCGGGAAACCGGGGCUAAUACCGGAUGCUUGAUUGAACCGCAUGGUUCAAUCAUAAAAGGUGGCUUUUAGCUACCACUUACAGAUGGACCCGCGGCGCAUUAGCUAGUUGGUGAGGUAACGGCUCACCAAGGCGACGAUGCGUAGCCGACCUGAGAGGGUGAUCGGCCACACUGGGACUGAGACACGGCCCAGACUCCUACGGGAGGCAGCAGUAGGGAAUCUUCCGCAAUGGACGAAAGUCUGACGGAGCAACGCCGCGUGAGUGAUGAAGGUUUUCGGAUCGUAAAACUCUGUUGUUAGGGAAGAACAAGUACCGUUCGAAUAGGGCGGCACCUUGACGGUACCUAACCAGAAAGCCACGGCUAACUACGUGCCAGCAGCCGCGGUAAUACGUAGGUGGCAAGCGUUGUCCGGAAUUAUUGGGCGUAAAGCGCGCGCAGGCGGUUUCUUAAGUCUGAUGUGAAAGCCCCCGGCUCAACCGGGGAGGGUCAUUGGAAACUGGGGAACUUGAGUGCAGAAGAGGAGAGUGGAAUUCCACGUGUAGCGGUGAAAUGCGUAGAGAUGUGGAGGAACACCAGUGGCGAAGGCGACUCUCUGGUCUGUAACUGACGCUGAGGCGCGAAAGCGUGGGGAGCGAACAGGAUUAGAUACCCUGGUAGUCCACGCCGUAAACGAUGAGUGCUAAGUGUUAGAGGGUUUCCGCCCUUUAGUGCUGCAGCAAACGCAUUAAGCACUCCGCCUGGGGAGUACGGUCGCAAGACUGAAACUCAAAGGAAUUGACGGGGGCCCGCACAAGCGGUGGAGCAUGUGGUUUAAUUCGAAGCAACGCGAAGAACCUUACCAGGUCUUGACAUCCUCUGACAACCCUAGAGAUAGGGCUUCCCCUUCGGGGGCAGAGUGACAGGUGGUGCAUGGUUGUCGUCAGCUCGUGUCGUGAGAUGUUGGGUUAAGUCCCGCAACGAGCGCAACCCUUGAUCUUAGUUGCCAGCAUUCAGUUGGGCACUCUAAGGUGACUGCCGGUGACAAACCGGAGGAAGGUGGGGGAUGACGUCAAAUCAUCAUGCCCCUUAUGACCUGGGCUACACACGUGCUACAAUGGGCAGAACAAAGGGCAGCGAAGCCGCGAGGCUAAGCCAAUCCCACAAAUCUGUUCUCAGUUCGGAUCGCAGUCUGCAACUCGACUGCGUGAAGCUGGAAUCGCUAGUAAUCGCGGAUCAGCAUGCCGCGGGUGAAUACGUUCCCGGGCCUUGUACACACCGCCCGUCACACCACGAAGAGUUUGUAACACCCGAAGUCGGUGAGGUAACCUUUUGGAGCCAGCCGCCGAAGGUGGGACAAUGAUUGGGUGA
Molecule: ribosomal RNA, 1476 nt
Filed under: Bacillus licheniformis
Lineage: Bacteria; Bacillati; Bacillota; Bacilli; Caryophanales; Bacillaceae
Description: bacterial SSU rRNA
Rfam family: Bacterial small subunit ribosomal RNA
Source: RNAcentral